Molecule: ribosomal RNA, 468 nt
Filed under: uncultured bacterium
Lineage: Bacteria
Description: partial 16S ribosomal RNA
Rfam family: Bacterial small subunit ribosomal RNA
Source: RNAcentral
GACGAACGCUGGCGGCGUGCUUAACACAUGCAAGUCGAACGGAAAGGCCCUGCUUUUGUGGGGUGCUCGAGUGGCGAACGGGUGAGUAACACGUGAGUAACCUGCCCUUGACUUUGGGAUAACUUCAGGAAACUGGGGCUAAUACCGGAUAGGAGCUCCUGCUGCAUGGUGGGGGUUGGAAAGUUUCGGCGGUUGGGGAUGGACUCGCGGCUUAUCAGCUUGUUGGUGGGGUAGUGGCUUACCAAGGCUUUGACGGGUAGCCGGCCUGAGAGGGUGACCGGCCACAUUGGGACUGAGAUACGGCCCAGACUCCUACGGGAGGCAGCAGUGGGGAAUAUUGCAUAAUGGGCGGAAGCCUGAUGCAGUAACGCCGCGUGCGGGAUGACGGCCUUCGGGUUGUAAACCGCUUUCGCCUGUGACGAAGCGUGAGUGACGGUAAUGGGUAAAGAAGCACCGGCUAACUACGUG